Molecule: ribosomal RNA, 465 nt
Filed under: Vreelandella stevensii
Lineage: Bacteria; Pseudomonadati; Pseudomonadota; Gammaproteobacteria; Oceanospirillales; Halomonadaceae
Description: partial 16S ribosomal RNA
Rfam family: Bacterial small subunit ribosomal RNA
Source: RNAcentral
CCUACGGGUGGCAGCAGUGGGGAAUAUUGGACAAUGGGCGAAAGCCUGAUCCAGCCAUGCCGCGUGUGUGAAGAAGGCCUUCGGGUUGUAAAGCACUUUCAGUGGGGAAGAAAGCCUUGGGGCUAAUACCCUCGAGGAAGGACAUCACCCACAGAAGAAGCACCGGCUAACUCCGUGCCAGCAGCCGCGGUAAUACGGAGGGUGCGAGCGUUAAUCGGAAUUACUGGGCGUAAAGCGCGCGUAGGCGGUCUGAUAAGCCGGUUGUGAAAGCCCCGGGCUCAACCUGGGAACGGCAUCCGGAACUGUCAGGCUAGAGUGAAGGAGAGGAAGGUAGAAUUCCCGGUGUAGCGGUGAAAUGCGUAGAGAGCGGGAGGAAUACCAGUGGCGAAGGCGGCCUUCUGGACUGACACUGACGCUGAGGUGCGAAAGCGUGGGUAGCAAACAGGAUUAGAUACCCUGGUAGUC